GUAGGGAGCAAGCGUUAUCCGGAUUUAUUGGGUGUAAAGGGUGCGUAGACGGGAAAUCAAGUUGGUUGUGAAAUCCCUCGGCUUAACUGAGGAACUGCAACCAAAACUAAUUUUCUUGAGUGCUGGAGAGGAAAGUGGAAUUCCUAGUGUAGCGGUGAAAUGCGUAGAUAUUAGGAGGAACACCGGUGGCGAAGGCGACUUUCUGGACAGUAACUGACGUUGAGGCACGAAAGUGUGGGGAGCAAACAGGAUUAGAUACCCUGGUAGUCCACACCGUAAACGAUGGAUACUAGGUGUAGGGGAUGAAUAAUCUUCUGUGCCGUCGCAAACGCAGUAAGUAUCCCACCUGGGGAGUACGGCCGCAAGGUUG
Molecule: ribosomal RNA, 370 nt
Filed under: uncultured bacterium
Lineage: Bacteria
Description: bacterial SSU rRNA
Rfam family: Bacterial small subunit ribosomal RNA
Source: RNAcentral